RNAcentral lists this unclassified non-coding RNA (509 nucleotides) under uncultured Glomus. Its description in RNAcentral is "SSU rRNA". It matches the Rfam family "Eukaryotic small subunit ribosomal RNA", at positions 569 to 1082 of the family's 1831-position model. Lineage: Eukaryota; Fungi; Glomeromycota; Glomeromycetes; Glomerales; Glomeraceae. The record is from RNAcentral.
AGCAGCCGCGGUAAUUCCAGCUCCAAUAGCGUAUAUUAAAGUUGUUGCAGUUAAAAGCUCGUAGUUGAAUUUCGAGAUCAAAUUGUUGGUCGUGCCUUGGUACGCACUGGCAUUAUUGGUUUCUCCCUUCUGACGAACCAUGAUGUCAUUAAUUUGGUGUCUUGGGGAAUCAGGACUGUUACUUUGAAAAAUUGAGUGUUUAAAGCAGGCUCACGCUUGAAUACAUUAGCAUGGAAUAAUGAAAUAGGACGUUUGAUUCUAUUUUGUUGGUUUCUAGGAUCGACGUAAUGAUUAAUAGGGAUAGUUGGGGGCAUUAGUAUUCAAUUGUCAGAGGUGAAAUUCUUGGAUUUUAUUGAAGACUAACUACUGCGAAAGCAUUUGCCAAGGAUGUUUUCAUUAAUCAAGAACGAAAGUUAGGGGAUCGAAGACGAUCAGAUACCGUCGUAGUCUUAACCAUAAACUAUGCCGACUAGGGAUCGGAUGAUGUUAAUUUUUAAUGUACUCAUUCC